This 146-nucleotide small RNA is filed under the name Sinorhizobium meliloti 2011. RNAcentral's name for it is "putative ncRNA". The record is from RNAcentral. Lineage: Bacteria; Pseudomonadati; Pseudomonadota; Alphaproteobacteria; Hyphomicrobiales; Rhizobiaceae.
AAGGACGGAGCAUUCCGAAAGGGUGGCCCAUUUGAUCUUGACGUUUCUGGAGCGUCCGUGACCGCUUCUAGCGCUUCUUCGUAUUCAGAUCGACGUCGGCAACGUGAACUUUCCACCCAUUUGCGACGGAUGGGAACCGGACAAAU